AAUCUAAAGAGAUUAAUUCUUGAGGAUAAUAAGUUGAGUGGACCAAUUCCUUACUCGUUGGGGGAUUUGAGACAGCUUGAAGAACUCAUAUUGUACAAUAAUACCUUAUCGUCUCCGCACCUAAGUAUCUUUUCUUCCUUGACCAACUGCAGAUCUUUACGACAAGUAAUGUUAGCAAAUAAUCCUCUGAAUGGAGUUCUUCCAGAUUCCAUUGGAAAUCUAUCCACUUCUAUGGAAAUAUUUGAUUUAUCUCUUUCUGAAAUUAGGGGUUGGA
This 274-nucleotide unclassified non-coding RNA is filed under the name Hevea brasiliensis (rubber tree). The record is from RNAcentral. Lineage: Eukaryota; Viridiplantae; Streptophyta; Magnoliopsida; Malpighiales; Euphorbiaceae.